RNAcentral lists this long non-coding RNA (39869 nucleotides) under Populus trichocarpa (black cottonwood). Its description in RNAcentral is "long non-coding RNA (PTRI_LNC004256)". Lineage: Eukaryota; Viridiplantae; Streptophyta; Magnoliopsida; Malpighiales; Salicaceae. The record is from RNAcentral.
ACCUCUUGCCUUUGAGCCACAGUGGUUAAUUUCACCUCCCCUUCAUUUGUUUACUUUUCAUUUAGUGAGUUUCUCUAAGCUACAAAAUAGUAUGACGACCUAUAUGGAUGAUCCUGUCUUGUUCAAAGCUGCAGAAGCAGGCAAUAUCGGUCCCUUUGAGAAUUAUCAAACCUGCCUUGAUCAGUUAUCGACUCCAGACGAGAACACCAUUCUUCAUGUCUACUUAGGAAACCAAAGUAGGGAACCGGAAUUCACUGAUUUUGUUGAUAUAAUUCUUGAAAUGUGUCCACCACUAUUAUUGCAGGCCAAUAAGAAAGGUGAAAUCCCACUCCAUUUGGCAGCAAGAUAUGGUCAUUCCAAUGUGGUAAAGGUCCUCAUUCACCGUGCAAAAGCUCUACCUACUGAUCCAGAGAGCGGCGUAACAGAAGCCCGAAAGAUGUUGAGGAUGACCAAUGAAGAGCAAGAUACAGCGUUGCACGAGGCAGCUCGAAAUAGGCGGAGCCAUGUGGUGGAAAUAUUGACUAAAGAGGACCCUGAGUUUUCAUAUUCCGCCAAUGUUCAUGGAGAAACUCCACUUUAUAUUCCUGCAGCUGCUUCCAGAGGGGUUGAAGAACGAGAAAAGGUGAUCGAUGAAAUCCUAACUAAUUGCAGUUCAGUGGACUAUGGCGGCCCUAAUGGUAGAACUGCUCUACACGCGGCAAUCAGGGUGGGAGAUCUUGGUAGGAUUUUGUGCUCAAGUCUGGAGAAUUAAAUAAUUUAUAUAUAAUAGUGUAAACUAUAAUUUAAAAGCCACUUAUAUUUGAUUUUAUAUAUCCGUGUUUGCUUCAUAAUUAGCUUUUUUUUAAAAAAAAAAUUAAACUACUAAAAUUCUUUGUGAGUUUAAGUAUUGGAUAUAUAGAUCUCUGUUGUUCAUGAAGGAAAACUUUUAUUCAUUGUUUUGUUGGUUUCAGAGACAGCAAGAAAAUUGUUAGAAAAAGAAAAAAAGUUGACGAAAACAACCGAUCAGGACGGCUGGUCACCGCUUCACUACGCUGCCUAUUAUGACCGGUCUACUUGUAUAGUGCAUGUAUUACUAGAAAAUGAUGCGUCCGCGGCCUACAUUGCUGAAACAGAGAAGAAGAGAACAGCACUUCACAUUGCUGCUAUUCAAGGACAUGUAAACGCAAUGAAAGAGAUUGUUUCUCGACGUCCAGCUUGUUGUGAGCUUGUUGAUAACAGAGGUUGGAAUGCCCUUCACUAUGCUGUGGCAACGAAAGAUAGAGAAGUAUUCAAGGAAUGUAUGGAGAUUCCUGAACUUGCAAGACUUAAAACGAAGAAGGAUGACAAAGGAAACACGCCCUUCCAUCUAAUUGCAGCUUUAGCGCACGAGAAGAAGCAAUGGAGACGUGUUUUAUAUAAAUAUUGUUAUAAUAAAAGGGUGGUAUGUGGUAAGAGUCCUUAUAAAAGGGAGGUAUGUGGUCUUAAUGAGCAAAAGCUAAGCGUCAACGACAUUUAUGAAGGAAAGUUUGGAGAGAUACAGGUAAUCAAUCCUCUAUGAAUUAACUGUUGUGAGAAUUAAUGCAUCCAUUAACCCCAACCCCCCACCCCCCCCAAAAAAAAAAAAAUAUAUAUAUAUAUAUAUAUAUAUAUAUAUAAUUUCUCGAUUUCUCAAUUUGGGUGCUGAAUAUCUCCUUUUUUAUUUGAAAUCAAGUCAUUUUAUUGAUAUUGUUAAUGAUGAGAUUUGACCAUUGAUGUUGAAAGGGGUUUUUUUUUUUAAUAUAUGACCACCGAUUCUUUUAGUCCGCAUCUUAACCAUAUCCGGGUCCACAUAACUAUUGUAUCUUCUAUUUUUAGUUUUGUUUUAAAAAUGUAUUUUAUUUAAAAAAUUAAAUUAAUUUUUUUUAAUUUUUUUAUAGUUUUAAUAAGUUGGUGUAAAAAAAUAAUAAAAUUUUAAAAAAAUUAUUUUAAUAUAUUUUUUAAAAAAUUACUUUUAAAAAUAAUAUGUACUGCAAUACUAAACAUAAAAAAAAGUCAUUGAAUAAUUUAAUAAUCUUUUUUUAUUUGGAAUGAAGUCAUUUUAUUGAUUUUGUUAAGUUUUUCAUCUACAAUAACAGAUUAUGCAUAUAAAUCGCAUGUAACUGCUUUAAAAAAACAUAUAUUAUUCAAUAAAUAAAUGGAAAGGAGUACAAAUGAACGAAAAAAAUACAAUAAAUUAAAUUUAAAUAAUCUGAAAAUUAAAGUUGAAAAAUCAAAUACAAACUUAACAUAAUCUUACAAGGAGAGUAACAAUAAACAAUAAUAUAUUGGUUUACCCCUCCUAGGAAAUUAAUUUUUUGAAUGAAAUGAUGUAAAAUUAAUGUAUAUAAAACUAAGUCCACAUCUUAGUUUUCUUUUUGGGUAUAAUUGGGCUAAUGUAAAGCAUGCGGUCUAAUUUCAACCAAUUUAGUUUUUUUUACCUCCUAAUAUAUGAUAUUUGUUAAAUACCUAAAAAUGAUGAAUAUCUACGAUAUUUUAACCUAAAUAUUUUGCAGAAAGAAAUCCUAAAAUCCCUUGAAGAUGUUGGCAAUGGACCGCUUGGCAGCCGCAAGGUUUUGAAAGGACAGAAUGAGGGGGAAAAAGAAGCUUUGAGUAGAGCAAGAGAGUCUCAUCUAGUAGUUGCGGCGCUGAUAGCAACGGUAACAUUUGCAGCAGCAUUUACCCUACCUGGUGGUUACAAGAACGACCGAGGCACUGCGAUUCUAGCUAAAAAAGCUGCUUUUAUAGUAUUUGUCAUCUCAGAUGCAAUGUCAAUGGUGCUCUCUAUUUUAGCUGUCUUUAUCCACUUUUUGAUUUCGCUGAUUCAUGGUUUUGAAAUGGUCAAGGAUAAAGUGAUAGAUGAGGAUACCACUGAGAUAUUAUUUGUGGUUGCCACAUUGUUUACAAUGAUUGGCAUGGGGACAAUGAUUAUCGCAUUCGUCACGGGCACAUAUGCGGUUCUAGAACCUUCCUUGGAGCUUGCCAUCAGCACUUGUCUCAUUGGUCUGAGCUUCUUCGUCCUUGGAAAUUUGGUGUUUGCGUUCAUUUACAAGGAUUCACUAGUGAAACAAGCAAUCCUAAAUUUUCUAUCAAAUAAACUCCGAUUUAUUUUUUAAAAUUUUUAUUAUGUUCAGAAAUCAUGUAGUUGGUUGCCAAAUCAGUUCUUAUUUUUUUUAAUUGAUGCGCAUCACAAGUCAAGUGUCAAAAACUUUGACAUUAUUUUUUAUUUAUUUAUUUAUUUUCUUUUUCCUUUUCAUGACAAAAAUUUAGUGACACAAAUUGUAGUUGGGACAACUAAAUUUAUUUUCCAAGUACAAUUUGCUUUGAUGGUUUGUUUAUUAAUCAAGAUUGCACUUGCAAAGUAUUAUACUGUAAGGAAACUACUCUAAAAAGUGGGAUAUGCCAAGUUUUAUUCUUCUUUGGCUCCUUUGCCUCGUAGCUAGCUUGUUCCAUGAGGUGCAUGUAAGGCAGGCAGAAUCUCAUCAACUCCAUUGGAUAACAAGUCAGACCUGACAAACCAGACUGGUCUUGAUAUACAAGAGCGUGUUUCAAAAUUGUAUCUUGUCCAUGAUAGAUGAAAAUAAAGACUGACAUCUUUGCCGAUGAAGGUAACGUUAAACAAAGAACUUAAGAUGAAGGCAAUAUUAAACAAAGAGCUUAAGCAUACAUCAAGCAUAACAAAUCGCAGAGUUUCCUACAAGAAUUUAAAUUUGGCAUGAGGAGAGGCUCUUGGGAAUUGGAAUAGAUUUUCAAACAUGCUUUAGCAAGAACCUCAGCAGCUCCAUUUCCUUCUGACACUUCUUAGGAAGCCAGUCUUUGUCCCUCCCUGCAUACUUUGAUUCCAUGUUGUUCUUAUCGCCAAUAAUGCUGUGUAGUCUGAUAGGCUUCAGCUUGGGUGACAGACUCCGUUAAGUGGCCUUUUGUGAUUCUAAGUAGUUUCCUUUCUUGAAUUGAUGCUUCUUCCGGAACUUUUAAUGUAUCUAAAAAUUCAAUUUGCUACAUUACAUGUAUAUACACAGUAGAAAGAUAGAUGGAUGAAAAGGACAAACUGUGAAACGUUACAAGCACUCACAUAAACAUAGGAGGAAGAUGUGACUUCAAGAGUCAGUGGCUCAAGCUCUGGUGAGCUCCUCAACAAGUGAAACGUCCCUGGAAGCUCCCAUUUUCUUAGCCAAGUUUCUAAUGUCAAACAUUUGCGAAUUGAGAUGGAAGGUUACAUAUUAAUCGUCUCACCCACUGAAAACAUCUUUGCUCAUAGAACAGGAAAGAACAAAGUGACGAAGAAAUAUGAAGACCAUACAUUGAUAUAAUACACAUUUAUGAUUGGAAAGUUGGAAUGCAAACAAUUGUCUUGAGUUUCUCUACAAUGAUUAUGAAUGUGUAGUCUCUGUAAUUAACAACUUAUCAGUAAGAGCAAAUUAAAAUUAACAUACCAUUGAAAAGAUUUAUAGGCACAUUUGAGAUUGUGUCCAGGAUCUGUUCUGUUCCCACAGGUUUGGCCUCCAAAAACUUAAGGCCACGAUAUAGGAGCUGCAACACUUUCCCAAACACUACUGUAUCAAAAUAUGUUUCAGAGAUUAACACUCGAGUAAAUUCAUAGGGAAAUUUAACUGACUUAUUUUCUAAAUGAAAUUCAAGCAGCAACAGUUCUUAAAAAAGAAACACACACACACACACACACACACACACACACACACACACAAUGCAUACUAGGUAUGUGAAGUGUGACUUUUCCACAAAUUAAUAAGCUGAAAGAACUUUGACUUGACUCAGAUCACCGGCACUUCUCAGCAGUUUGUUAAAAGCUUCAUCAUCUACAAGAUUUUCUAGCUUAAGCUGAAAACCAAGCUCUACUCUCUCCAGGCAAGUGCAGGACCUAUCUUCAAUCAUGUAGUCCUCAAAGUCCAAUUCUCCCCAAAGAGACAAUGAGUGUACAUUUGGAGCGCAAAUCUUCAGAUCCUUACUAUUCCACCCAUACUGUUUUAAAUAACCCAAGCACAAACUCUUCACGUUCUUCCCAUUCAGGUUCUCGGAUUUCAUAUCAUUACACUCCAAGAUAACCAACUUCUGCAGCGAAGGACUGUCAGACAAAAUCAUAUUCAAUUUCUCAUCACCGAGAUCAUCACUCUCUCUCCGUGAUAAGCUUAGGGCCAAUUAACGGACCUUAUAUUAUAAAAACAGAAACAUGCCAGUUCCAGAUGACAAAGGUCAUCUUUAUACAUGGUAAAAUGAAGCUCUUCAACCAGCCUUUUAACAGCGAAAUGAAUCCGCGUAUAGAUAGUUGACUCGAACUCAUGUUUGUAUACAAAGAGGGGGGAAACAGCUCAAGACAAUUGUUUUGAUAGUAUAAUAUUUCAAAAUUGAAAAUUAAAAAGAUGAUGUUUGUACAAAUUAAAAAAUCUAAAAAAAUAAAUCACAUAAACAACUGUUAAUGCUAAUUAAAUACUAAAUAGAGAGUUUAUUUUUUUUUUGUGUAAAAAACAAAAAAUAAAUGUAAGUGUAAAUAUUUGAACUAAUAAUGUAGUCACUUUUUGAUUUUUUUAUUUAAUUGUGUGGAAAUAAAAAUGAAUAUUUGUAAAAAACAUAAUGAUUUGAAUUCUCAUGAAAAAGAUAUAUAUUUACUAUUUAGUCAAAAUUAUCGUUUCAUAUUAAUUUUUUUUAUUUAAAAAACAUAUCUUUUCUAAUAACAGUAUAGUAAUUUAUUAGAUAAAGAAUAAAGGAAAUUAAAAUAAAAAUUAGAAAAAUUCUAUUGAUUUGAAAUAAAGAGUAGAGAAUUAUGUAUCUCUCUAAUUUAUUACACAAACAUGUCAUUUUUUUAAGAAGUAUUGUUUUUCUAAAAUGUUUUUUAAACACAGGUUAUUGUGAGCCAACUUUUAAAUACCAGACUAAAUUUUCAUAGUGCAAAACCAGCCUUUACACAGCUCUUUCUCCAUGACCCGUGGCUCCGAGAGGUUUUUCUAGUACUCGAGUUCUGAAGAAGCAAACCCCAAGCCCCUACCACCUUGGGGUAGUUUUUUUAAAUCAUAAUCAUAUAUAUAUUUUUUAAAAAAAUUACUUUGAAGAUUUUAAUAAAAUAUAAGAAACACAUUAAAUAAAUAGCUAGCGAUAUCCUGAAUGCUGUCAAAUUUUCGCAGCAUCUCAUUACAGAAGUGAGUUUUUAUAGUGUAUAAAUAUAAAUAUACAUUUUGGUGUGCAUGGCUUUAGUGAGUAAAAAGUAGAUGAAACUUGACUAGACAAUAUGAGAGAGGUCAUAAUUAGUUGUUCUGUGAGAGAGGUGAGGCAGAAAUCCUAUUCUGUCAGGAUGGAUUUAUAACUCUAAAACAGUGUUUUUUUUUUUUUUUUACUACAAUUGGGUAUUGUUCUACAUUCACAAAACAUUGUGAAUUUAUUGUUUUUUUUAAUAAUAAUUCAUUUUGAUCCUUAAAAUUUUAUUUUAUAAAAUUUGAUCUUAAUUAAAUGUUAAUUACUUAUAAUUUCUUAGUAAAGAGUAAAAUUAAAAGAAUGAGAACUAAAAUAAAAUAAAAACAUCAAAUAUAGAUGGCGUACUAGAGACUUCAAGCAAAAUACACUUAGGUCCUUAAUCUUUAAAAAUAAUGUCAUUCAUACAAUUCAGGUCUCUUAAAAUUUUAAAAAAUUAAUUUUGAUACACAAGUUUAUUUGUAUUAUUUUUAAGUCUAAGGUUAAAGAGAUGAGAGAGAUAAGUGUUGUCAAAUUCUAAUAAUAAGAGAGAAAGUCAAUGUUCACUCCAUUUUCGACCACCAAAAUGAGUUUUAUUAGUGUCCACAGGUUCCUAGAUAUGAGAGGGGCUUCAUAAUGGUUGUUUAGAGUCUUAAUGUUGCAUAAAAAUUCAGAUUUAAGCCGGAAAAACCAAAACUAACCCGAUUUGAUUUAAAAUUUUCGGGUUUUUUUUUUGUAUUUAGAGUUGAUGAAAUGAUUUUUGGGUGUUAUAAAGGUGUUGGUGAAGUGCUUUGAGGUUGCAAUGACUUAAAAUCGAGUCUUUUUACCAAAAGAAGUAUUGCCUCAAUUUUCCAUCAACAACUAUGGUGCUCAGAAUCUGGGCUCAUAGACGAUACAUCAUUUAUGUAUUUUUGUUUCAAAUAAAAAAAUAGAAUCAAGCUCAAGCACGCAAGGUUGGGCUUGAAUGUCCACCCACGCGGGACAUGAGCUGUUUUCUAGUCUUUUUUAAGGAGUAAAUAUAAAUUUAAGGUAAAUAAUUAUUGAACUAGGCUGAUUUCAUAGCCUGAAAUACAUGUUUGAUGAGUUAAGUCAUAACAUUUUUUUUUUCUUCUAAUCUUGCUUUUUUUAAUUGACAUCUUCUUUGAAUGUCUUUUUUCUUAAAUAAUUUUUAAAUUUAUGAUUGAAUUAAUAACCCUUAUCUGUGAUUUGUUUUCUUAUUUAAUCUUUUUUGGAUGAAAAUGUUUUUAAUGGUGUUGCGUGUAUUUAGUUUUUGGAAAGAAUAUUCUAAUUAAUCUAUAAUGCUUUUUAAACUUUUUCAUAUAGAUGAACUUUAUAUUUUAAAAUAAAAAAUAUUUAUUUCAGAUAAUAUUUCUAAUAUGUGUAGCAUUGCAUAAUAUUUUUGUUUUUUUAUUUUAUUUAAUCAGUUUAAUACGUGUGUCUAUUUUUAUUAUCAUUUAAUUAAACAAAUUCAACAAGCAUAAUCGAGUAAAUAGCUCAUCUUGUGAGAUUAAAUGUAUUGAUUUAUUUUUGUUUCUUGAUUUUUUUCAAUUUUAUUUUUAGUUAUUGUUAAUGAUUUUUUUUCUCGUUUAUUAAUACAUAAAAUUCUCAAUUUAUUUGAUUACAUACAUGCAUGAACGUCUUAAUUUAUAUAUAUUUUUAAUGUAUAAAAACACAUAAAAAAAUUAAUAUAAAUAAUUUUUUUAUAAAAAAAAUACCUGACCCAUGAUAAAACAGAGUCAAGUAGCAAGCUUAUAAUCUAAAGAAGGAUGGGCAAAGCCAAAAAGUUUAGAAAAUUCAGAGCCAAUUUGCAACUUGGUUGAGAAAGACUAAAUUGCAUGCUUUUUUAUUAGAAUAAAUAGCGAAUCCCGACAGAUUCCUCGCUAGCUAAUUAAAAAUGACUCCAAAAAAUCAAUGCAGAUCCCUUUAUAAAUAGGAAUUAUUAAUUAAAGAACUCUUAACUUGCUUGAAAAUGAGUCCAAAUUAUUAAACUGAAUGCUAACUAAGAAACGUUUAUUAUAAUUAAAGACAUUAAACAAUUCACAUCGACUCCUAAAAAUCGAUGCAGAUCCAUCAUAAACAAGACUUAUUAAAUUAAGAUUUCUUAAAUUGCUUGGAAAUGACUUCAAAGCCUACGCUAUCCUUAUAAGAGACUGGUAAUCAUUAUAUUUUUAGUAUUUUACUAUAAGUAUUACUAGUGCGACGCCAUGAAUUAAUUAUUUUAUAUAAAAUAUUAAAAAAAAUUAAAAUUUAAAAGUAUUAGGUUUUUUUACAAAACUAUAUUCAAGACAUAUAAAAAAAUUAUAAUUAUAAAAAUUCAUUAAAAGAAAAAAACACAAAAAAAAACCUAUAAAGUGUAUAAAAACAGAAAAAAAAUGAAAACGAAUAUAUAUAUAUAUAUAUAUAUAUAUAUAGUUAUAAUUAUAAUUAUAAUUAUAAUAAUUAUUAUAUAUAAGUAUAAUUAAAAGGCGUGGGGAAGCUACAGUGCUUUCCCACGCCUUUUAGUAUAUUGUUAAUAAUAAUAAUAUGAUUAUCUCUCUAUAUUUGGAAAUGGAUAAGGAUGAAGUGAUAGAUAAGGAAACCACUGGGAUAUUAUUUAAGGUUGCCAUGUGGCUGACCAUGAUUGGCACGGGGACAAUGAUUAUCGCAUUCGUUACGAGUACAUAUGCAGCUCUGGUACUUUCAUUGGGACUUGCCAUCAGCACUUAUCUCAUUGGUCAAACUUCUUCUUUCUUGUGUACUUAGUGUUUAGGAUCAUUGACAGGGAUUUACGAGAUGAGAUUUAGUAGUGAAAACAUUUUAAAUAAUUGUUUUUGAAAAAAAUUAUGACGUCAUAUGGUCAGCAAUCAUGUGUUUGGUUGCCCAUCAGUUUUCAUUUUUUUUUAUUGUAAUUGAUGCGUAUCACAAGACUUGUGGUAAAAAACUCUGACACUAUUUUUUAUUUAUUUAUUUUUGUUUUUCUAUUCAUGACAAAAAUUUAGUACAGCUAAAUUUAUUUUCCAAGUACAAUUUGCUUUGAUGGUUUGUUUAUUAAUCAAGAUUGUACUUGCAAAGUGUUUGUUUUUUAUUUAAAAAGUGUUAUUAAUUUUUUUUAUAAUUUUAAAUCAUUUUAAUAUACUAAUAUUAAAAUAACUUUUUAAAAAUAAAAAAAAUUAUUUUAAUAUAUUUUAAAAUAAAAAAUAUUUUAAAAAACCACUAAACAAAAUAUUCUGAAAAGUCGGGAUAUGCCAAGUUUCAUUCUCCUAUGGCUGCUGCGCCAGCCAGCUAGCUUGUUCCAUGAAGUGGCUGGAAUAAUCUCAUCGACUUUAUUGGAUAGCAUGUCAGACUUGACCAACCAGAUAAGAAAAAAAGAAAAAAGAAACCAACUAGCUAUGAAUCUGUGGACUUGUGUUUUGAUAGCAUAAAAUGUUUAAAUUGAAAAUUGAAAAGAUACUGUUUGCAUUUUUUUAAAACGAAUUAAAAAUAUUUUAAUUAGUAAAUCACAUAAAGAAUGGUUAAUCUAAUUAAAGGCUAAAACAGUUGGGUAUUUUUUUUAUAUAAAAAAAACAAAAAAAUAAAUGCAGGUGUAAAUAUUUAACCUAGUAACAUGGUUUUUAUUUAUUUAUUUAAUUGUAUAAAAAUAAAAAUAAAAAUAAAAAUAAAUAUUUGUAAUAAAGAUAGGUAUUUAAAUUCUCUGAAAAAAAAUGUAUUUUUAGUUAAAAUUCUCUUUUUAUAUAUAAAAAAAAGUUAAUGCUUGCUAUCAGCACUUCUCUCAUUGUCUGGUUUAAUGUUUUUAAAUAAAAAAACAUUUUUUUUUUUAUAAAAAAACCAACAUCUAAAACUCUCUUUAAAUACCCUUUUAUCCAGGGAGGCAACAAACAAUAGAAAUCAGCAGCUUGUGAUCAGUUGAGUGGAACCUCUUACCUUUGAGCCACAUUGGUUUCUCCUCCCCUUCAUUUGUUUACAUUUCAUUUAGUGAGUUUUUCUAAGCUACAAAAUAGUAUGGAUCCUGUCUUGUUCAAAGCGGCGGAAGCAGGCAAUAUCGGUCCCUUUGAGAAUUAUCAAACCAGCCUCAAUCAGUUAUUGACUGCAGACGAGAACACCAUUCUUCAUGUCUACUUGAAAAACCAAAGCAGUGAACCGGAAUCCACUGAUUUUGUUGAUAAAUUUCUUGAAAGAUGUCCACCACUGUUAUUCCAAGCCAAUAAGAGAGGAGAAACCCCCCUUCAUUUGGCAGCAAGAAAUGGCCAUUCCAAUGUGGUAAAAGUCCUCAUUGACCGUGCAAAAGCUCUACCUGCGGAUCCGGAGAGCGGAGUAACUAAAGCUAAAAUGAUGUUGAGGAUGACCAAUGAAGAGCAAGAUACAGCGUUGCACGAGGCAGCUCGAAAUAGGCGGAGCCAUGUGGUGGAAAUAUUGACUAAAGAGGACCCUGAGUUUUCAUAUCCCGCCAAUGUUCAUGGAGAAACUCCACUUUAUAUUGCUGCUUCCAUUGGCUUUCUAAUGUUUAGCGAAGAACACGGAAAGGUAGUCGAUGGAAUCUUAGGAAAUUGCAUUUCAGUGGACUAUGGCGGCCCUGAUGGUAGAACUGCUCUACACGCGGCAAGCAUGGCGGCAAAUUAUGGUAGGAUUUUGCGCUCAAGUCUGGAGAAUUAAUUAAUUUAUAUAUAAUAUUGUAAACUAUAAUUUAAAAGCCACGUAUAUUUGAUUUUAUAUAUCUCUGUGUUUGCUUCGUAAUUAGCUCUUCUUUUUUCUUUUAAUUUUAAGCCACUUGAAUUCGUGAAAUCACUGUUGUUCAUGAUGGAGAGCUUUUAUUCCUUGUUUUGUUGGUUUCAGAGACAGCAAGAAAAAUGUUAGAAAAAGAAAAAAAGUUGACGAAAACAACCGAUGAGAACGGCUGGUCACCACUUCACUACGCUUCCUAUUGUGACUGGUCUAAUGCUCCUAUAGUGGAAGUAUUACUAGAAUAUGAUGCGUCCGCGGCCUCCAUUGCUGAAACAGAGAAGAGGAGAACAGCACUUCACAUUGCUGCCAUUCAAGGACAUGUAGACGCAAUGAAAGAGAUUGUUUCUCGAUGUCCAGCUUGUUGUGAUCUAGUUGAUAACAGAGGUUGGAAUGCCCUUCACUAUGCUGUGGCAAGUAAAGAUACAAAAGUAUUCAAGGAAUGUCUGAAGAUUCCUGAACUUGCGAGACUUCAAACUGAGAAGGAUGACAAAGGAAACACGCCCUUCCAUCUAAUUGCUGCUUUAGCGCACGAGCAGCCGGAAUGGAGAUAUGUUUUAUUUAACGAUGGUAAUGGUUAUCGUAAAUGGCAGAUAUAUGGUCUUAAUAAGCGAAAGCUAAGCGUCAACGACAUUUAUGAAGAAGAUUUUGGAGAGAUACAGGUAAUCAAUCCUCUAUGAAUUACCUCCCCAAACUGGUUUUCUAUGACCGAUUUCCAUCUAGUUCCUUUGCAUCUCCGAUUCUUUUAGCUCCGCAUCUUAAUCAUAUCCACCACAUGGGUCCAUAUAAAUUUUGUUCAGUUUCACUGUAUUAUUUCCUAUCAUCUUAAAAGUAUUUUCUGUUUCUAGUUUUGUUAUAAAAAUGUAUUUUAUUCAAAAAAAAUUAAAUUAAUAUUUUUUUAUAUUUUUAUAAUUUUGAUGAGCUGAUAUAAAAAGAAAAUAAAAUUUUAAAAAGUAUUUUAAUAUAUUUUUUAAAAAACUUAUAAAAACUAUUUAUAUCAUAAUACCAAACAUAAAAAUGAAGUCAUCGGAAUAACUUAAUAAUCUUCUUUUUAUUUGAAAUCAAGUCAUUUUAUUGAUUUUGUUUAAGUUUUUCAUCUACAGAUUAUGCAUAUGAAUAGCAUGUAACUGCUUAAAAAAAACAUAUAUUAUUCAAUAAAAAAAAAAACAAAAAGUAGUACAAAAGAAUGAAAAAAAAUACAAUUAGUUAAAAUUUUGAAAAUCUGAAAAUUAAAGUUGAAAAAUCUAGUAGAAACUUGACAUAAUCUUACAAGCGAUUAAGAAGAGUAACAAUAAAUAAUAAUAUAUUGGAUUGAUAUAUGAAUAAUUUUAGAAUGAAAUGAGGUAAAAUCAAUGGUAUAUAAAAUAUUUAAGUCCACAUCUUAGUUUUCUUUUUAGGGAUAAUUGGGCUAAUAUAAAGCAUGCGGUUUAAUUUCAACCAAAUUAGUUUUUUUUACCUGCUAAUAUAUACAGUAACAGGAAGGAUUUGAUUACAAACAAACUAGUUGUGGAAACAAAAAUAAAGGCCAGAAAGGUGAUAUAUGAUAUAUUUGUUAAUUAAAUAGCUAAAAAUAAUGGAUGUCUAUGAUAUUUUACCCUAAAUAUUUUGCAGAAAGAGAUCCUAGAAUCCCUUAACGAUGGUGGUAGUGGACCGCUUGGCCGCCGGCGUAAGGUUUUGAGAAGAGGGAGAAACAAAGAGGGAGAGGAUGCUUUGAGUAAAGCAAGAGAGUCUCAUCUAGUAGUUGCGGCGCUGAUAGCAACGGUAACAUUUGCAGCAGCAUUCACCCUACCUGGCGGUUACAAGAGCGACCGAGGCACUGCGAUUCUAGCUAAAAAAGCUGCUUUUAUAGUAUUUGUCGUCUCAGAUGCAAUGUCAAUGGUGCUCUCUAUUUCUGCUGUCUUUAUCCACUUUUUGAUUUCGUUGAUUCAUGCUUUUGAAAUGGAAAAGAAUAAAGAUAUAAGUGAGGAAGCCGCUAUAAAACUAUUUGGGGUUGCCACGUUGUUUACCAUGAUUGGCAUGGGUAUAAUGAUUAUCGCAUUCAUUACGGGCACAUACGCCGUUUUAGAACCUUCCUUGGGGCUUGCCAUCAGCAGUUGUCUCAUUGGCCUGAGCUUCUUCUUCAUUGUGUAUUUAGUGUUUAGGAUCAUUUUCAAGGAUGUAGAAGAUUAGGUUUACUAGUGAAACAAUCAAUUCUAAAUUUUUUAUCAAAUAAAACUCGAUCUGAUGUAUUAUUAUAAAUUCUUAUUGUCAUAUGUUCAGAAAUCAUGUGAUUGGUUGCAAAAAUCAGUUGUCAAAUUUUUUUAUUUAUUUUGUAAUUGAUGCUCAUUACAAGUCAAAUGGUCAAAAACUUUAUCCUAUUUUUUAUUUAUUUAUUUAUUUUCUCUUUCCUAUUCUUGACCAAAAUUUAGUGACAUAAAUAUUAGUUGGGACAGCUAAAUUUAUUUUCCAAGUACAAUUUGCUUUCAUGGUUUGUUGAUCAAUCAAGAUUGCACUUGCAAAGUGUUUGUUUUUGUUUUAAAAAAACAUUAUUAAUUUUUUUUGUUUUUUAUUUUAAAUUAAUUUUUUAUGAUUUUAUAUUAUUUUAAUGUAUUAAUUUUAAAAAUAGAUUUUAAAAAAUAAAAAUAAAUUAUUCUAAUAUAUUUUUAAAUAAAUAAUAAUUUAAAAUGCAAUUAUUAUCACAUGACAACGAAUCUCGCUUUCACCGUAAGAAAACUACUCUAAAAAGUUGGGAUAUGCCAAGUUUCAUUCUUCUAUGGCUGCUGUGCCAGCUAGCUAGCUUAAUCAUAAUAUCCAUCUAGUUCCUUUGUAUCUCCGAUUCUUUUAGCUCCGCAUCUUAAUCAUAUCCAUUAAAUGCGUCCACAUAAUUUUUGUUCAGUUUCUCACUGUAUUAUUUUCUAUUUUCUAUUAUUUUCUAAUGUAAAGCAUGCGGUUUAACUUCAAUCAAAUUAGUUUUUUUUACCUGCUAAUUAUAUAUAAUAUAUACACUAACAAAAAGGACUUGAUUGCAAACAAGCUAGUUAUGGAAACAAAAACAAAGGCCUGGAAAUUGAUAUAUGAUAUUUGUUAAAUAGCUAAAAAUGAUAUAUGAUAUUUUACCCUAAAUAUUUUGUAGAAAGAGAUCCUAGAAUCCCUUGAAGAUGUUGGCAGUGGACCGCUUGGCCGUCGGCACAAGGUUUUGGGAAGAGGGAAUGAGGAGAGAAACAAAGGGGAAGAGGAUGCUAUCAGUAAAGCAAGAGUGUCUCAUUUAGUUGUUGCGGUGCAUUCAUCACGGGCACAUACGAGGUUCUAGAACCUUUCCUGAGGCUUGCCAUCAACACUUAUCUCAUUGGUUUGAGCUUCUUCUUCCUUGUAUCUUUAAUGUUUAUGUUUAUUGGCCAGAAUCUAAAAGAUAAGAUUUAUUAGUGAAACAAUCAGUUCUAAAUUUUCUAUCAAAUAAAAUUCAGAUUUAUUUUUUAAAAAAAUUCUUAUUGUUUUUGAAAAACAAUUGUGACAUUAUAUAGUCAGAAAUCAUGUGGUUGGUCGCCAAAUCAGUGGUCAAUUUUAUUUUUUAUUGUAAUUGAUGCGCAUCACAAGAUUUGUGCCCAAAAACUAUAACACUAUUUUUUUUUUUUUUCAUUUUCCUAUUCGUGACUAAAAUUCAGUGACACAAGUACUAGUUGGGACAGCUAAAUUUAUUUUUGAAGUAUGAUUUGCUUUGAUGGUUUGUUUAUUAAUCAAGGUUGUACUUGUAAAGUAUGUGUUAUUGUAUUUAAAUAGUGUUAUUAAAUUUUUUAAUUUGAAAUUGUUUUAAUAUACUGAUAUUAAAAAUAAUUUUUUAAAAAUAAAAAAAAAUAUUUUAAUAUAUUUUUAAAUAAAAAAAUAUUUUAAAAAACAAAACAAAUUAAUCUGAAAAGUGGAAUAUGCCAAGUUUCAUUCUUCUUUGGCUCCUGUGCCAGCUAGCUAGCUAGUUCCAUGAAAGUGCAUGUAUAUGGUUGGAAUAUUCUCUUCGACCUGACAAACGAGACAUUAAAUAAAUAUACCAACUAGUUACGGGUCACAUUCCAAAACUAAGUUGUAGUGUAAAAAUAAAUAAAAAAGAAGCUAUGAAUCUGUGGAGUUGUGUUUUGACUUUUGACAGCAUAAAAUUUUUGAUUUUUUUAUUUGAAAAUAAUUUUUUAUAUAAAAAAAAUCUGAUCCGUGUGCGCUUGUCAGAUAGCAAUACCAUGGGCAACGCCAAAAAGAUGAAGUUAUUUGCAUUAUGAGUCUAUUUGUGAUUAGCAUGAAUAACUUUCUCCUCUGUAAAAAACCAAAGAAAUCAGCAGCUUGUGAUCAGUUGAGUGGACCCUUUGUGCCACAGUACUUUCUCCUCCCCUUCAUUUGUUUACAUUUCAUUUAGUGAGUUUCUCUAAACUACAAAACGGGUUCUUCUGAGAAAAUGAAACGUAUCAGCUAUAUGGAUCCUGUCUUGUUCAAAGCUGCAGCUGAAGGCGAUAUCGAUCCCUUUGAGAAAUAUCAAACCUGCCUUGAUCAGUUAUUGACUCCAGACGAGAACACCAUUCUUCAUGUCUACUUAGGAAACCAAAGUAGGGAACCGGAACUCACUGAUUUUGUUGUUAUAAUUCUUGAAAUGUGUCCACCACUGUUAUUCCAAGCCAAUAAGAAAGGUGAAAUCCCACUCCAUUUGGCAGCAGCAUAUGGUCAUUCCAAUGUGGUCAAGGUCCUCAUUGACCGUGCCAAAGCUCUACCUACUGAUUCAGAGAGCGGAGUAACAGAAGCAAAAAAGAUGUUGAGGAUGACCAAUGAAGAGCAAGAUACAGCGUUGCACGAGGCAGCUCGACAUAGGCGGAGCCAUGUGGUGGAAAUAUUGACUAAAGAGGACCCUGAGUUUCCAUAUUCCGCCAAUGUUCAUGGAGAAACUCCACUUUAUAUUGCUGCUUCCAUUAUCACGAGGUGGAGGGAAGAACGAGGAAAGGUAGUCGAUGGAAUCCUCGGAAAUUGCAUCUCAGUGGACUAUGGCGGCCCUAAUGGUAGAACUGCUCUAAACGCGGCAAUCAGGGUGCGAGAUGAUGGUAGGAUUUUGUGCUCAUGUCUGGAGAAUUAAAUAAUUUAUAUACAAAAGCCACGUAUAUUUGAUUUUAUAUAUCCGUGUUUGCUUCAUAAUUAGCUUUUUUAAAAAAUAAAAUAAAUUAUACCACUAAAAUUCUUUGUGAGUUUAGUAUUGUUCAUGAAGGAAAACUUUUAUUCCUUGUUUUGUUGGUUUCAGAGACAGCAAGAAAAUUGUUAGAAAAAGAAAAGAAAUUGACGCAAACAACCGAUGAGAACGGCUGGUCACCACUUCACCACGCUGCCUGUUAUGACUGGUCUCCUCGUAUAGUGCAAAUAUUACUAGAAAAUGAUGCGUCUGCGGCCUACAUUGCUGAAACAGAGAAGAGGAGAACAGCACUUCACAUUGCUGCUAUUCAAGGACAUGUAAACGCAAUGAAAGAGAUUGUUUCUCGAUGUCCAGCUUGUUGUGAGCUAGUUGAUAACAGAGGUUGGAAUGCCCUUCACUAUGCUGUGGCAAGUAAAGAUAGAGUAGCAUUCGUCCACUGUCUGAAGAUUCCAGAGCUUGCAAGACUUGGAACGAAGAAGGAUGACAAAGGAAACACCCCCUUCCAUCUAAUUGCUGCUUUAGCGCACCAGCAGAAGCAAUGGCAACGUGUUUUAUUUAACGAUAGUUAUGGUUAUAGUGGAAGGGAGAUAAGAUGUGGUCUUAAUAAGCGACAGCUAAGCGUCGACGACAUUUAUGAAGGAAAUUUUGCAGAGAUACAGGUAAUCAAUCCUCUAUGAAUUAACUGUUGUGAUAAUUAAUGCAUCCAUAUAUAUAUAUAAUCAAUUUCUCGAUUUCUCAAUUUGGGUUCUGAAUAUAAUUAAAUCACAGCAAACUGGUUUUCCUGUGCUUCUCCGGUUCUUUUAGCUCCGCAUCUUUAAUCAGAUCCACCAAAUGGGUCCCCAAAACUUUUGUUCAGUUUCACUGUAUUAUUGCCUGUUGGGAUCAGUUUUGUAUCAUCUUACGAGUAUAUAUCUUCUGUUUUUAAUUUCGUUUCAAAAAUGUAUUUUAUUUAAAAAAAUUAAAUUAAUAUUUUUUAUUUUUUUUAUAAUUUUGAUAAGUUGAUAUAAAAAUAAAAUAAAAUUUUAAAAAAUAUUUUAAUAUAUUUUUAAACAAAAAAAACUUUUAAAAACUAUUUAUACCGUAAUAUUAUACAUAAAAGUGAAGUCAUCGGAAUAACUUAAUAAUCUUUUUUUACUUGGAAUGAAGUCAUUUUAUUGAUUUUGUUAAGUUUUUCAUCUACAAUAACAGAUUAUGCAUAUGAAUAGCAUGUAAUUGCUUAAAAAAACAUAUAUUAUUCAAUAAAAAAAUGAAAAGUAGUACAAAUGAAUGAAAAAAAAUACAACUAGUUAAAAUUUUGAAAAUCUGAAAAUUAAAGUUGAAAAAUCUAAUAAAAACUUAACAUAAUCUUACAAGCGAUUAAGGAGAGUAGCAAUAAACAAUAAUAUAUUGGAUUACAAUAAUCUAGGAAAUUAAUUUUAGAAUGAAAUGAUGUAAAAUCAAUGGUAUAUAAAAUUAAGUCCACAUCUUAGUUUUCUUUUUGGGGAUAAUUGGGCUAUUGUAAAGCAUGCUGUUUAAUUUCAACCAAAUUAGUUUUUUUGUUACCUGCUAAUAUAUACAGUAACAAGAAGGAUUUGAUAGUAAACAAACUAGUUCUGGAAACAAAAACAAUGGCUCGGAAGUUGAUAUAUGAUAUAUGUUAAAUAGCUAAAAAUGAUGAUUAUUUGUUUAAAUUUUUAGAACAAUUAUCUACCAUAUUUUACCCGAAAUAUAUAUUUUUGCAGAAAAAGCUCGUAAAAUCCCUCGAAGAUGUUGGCAGUGGACCGAUUGGUCACGGUCCCUUUGUUAUGAAAGGAGAGGAAGAGAAAAACAAUAAGGAGAGAAACAAAGGGGAAGAGGAAGCUUUGAGUAAAGCAAGAGAGUCUCAUCUAGUUGUUGCGGCGCUGAUAGCAACAGUAACAUUUGCAGCAGCAUUCACCCUCCCUGGAGGUUACAAGAACGACCAAGGUCCAAAUGAAGGCACUGCAAUUCUUGCUAAAAAAGCUGCUUUUAUAGUAUUUGUUAUAUCAGAUGCAAUGUCAAUGGUGCUCUCUCUUUUAGCUGUCUUUAUCCAUUUUAUGAUUUCGCUGAUUCAUGGUUUUAAAAUGGUAAAGGAUGAAGCGAUGGAUGAGAAUACCACUGGGAUAUUAUCUGGGUAUGCCAUGUUGCUGACAAUGAUUGCCAUGGGUACAAUGAUUAUCGCAUUCAUCACGGGCACAUAUGCGGUUCUAGAGCCUUCCUUGGGGCUUGCUAUCAGCACUUGUUUUAUUAGUCUGAGUUUCUUCUUCCUUGUGUAUUUAGUGUGUAAGUUCAUUUACAAGAAUUUAAUAAAUUAGAUUUACCGGUGAAACAAUCAAUUCUAAAUUUUAUAUCAAAUAAAACUCCGAUGUAUAUUUUUUUAAAAUUCUUAUUGUUUUUUUUAAAAAAAAUUAUGAUGUCAUAGGUUCAGAAAUCAUGUGUUUGAUUCCUAAAUCAGUUGUUAAUUUUUUAUAUUUUAUUUUGCAAUUGACACGAUCACAAGUUAAUUAGUCAAAAACUCUAAUAUCAUUUUGUUGAUUUUGUUAGGUUUUUCAUCUACAAUAACAGGUUAUGCAAUGAAUCACAUGUAAUUCAAUAAAAAAACGAAAUUAAUUAAAAUUUAAAAAAUCUAAGAAUUAAAUUUGAAAAAUCAAAUAGAAACUUAUCAUAAUCUUUCAAGCAAUUAAGGAGAGUAACAAUAAACAACAAAUAUUGGAUUAUCCCUCCUAGGAAAUUAAUUUUAGAAUGAAAUGAUGUAGAAUUAAUGGUAUAUAAAGUUAAGUCCACAUCGUAGUUUUCUUUUUGGGGAUAAUUGGGUUAAUGUAAAGCAUGCGGUUUCAUUUCAUCCAAAUUAGUUUUUGUUACCUUCUAAUAUAUACAGUAACAAAAAGGAUUUAAUUGCAAAUAAACUAGUUGCAGAAACAAAAACAAAGACCCAGAAGUUGAUAUAUGAUAUUUGUUAAAUAGCCGAAAAUAAUGGAUAUUUUACCCGAAAUAUUUUGCAGAAAUAGAUCUUAGAAUCCCUUGAAGAUGCUGGCAGUGAACCGCUUGGCAGUCGAGUUUUGAGAAUAGAGAAUGUUGAGAUAAAGAAAGAAUUAGAAUGUCUAAUUGGUUUGGUUUGAGCUUCUUCUUUCCUUAUAUAUUUCGUGUUGAGGUUCAUUUACAAGAAUUUAGGAGAUACGAUUUGGUAGUGAAACAAUUAAUUCUAAAUUUUCUAUCAAAUAAAAUUCAGAUGUCUUUAUUUUUUAAGACAUUCUUAUUGUUUUUGAAAAAAAUUUGUGAUGUCAUAUGGUCAGAAAUCAUGUGGUUGGUUGCUAAAUCAGUUGUCAAUUUAUAUUUUUUAUUUUUUAUUGUAAUUAAGGCGCAUCACAAGUCAAGUGGUAAAAAACUCUAAAACAAUUAUUUAUUUAUUUAUUUAUUUUUCUUAUUUAUGACUAAAAUUUAGUGAUGCAAAUACUAGUUGGUACAACUAAAUUUAUUUUCCAAGUAUAAUUUUCUUCUGAUGGUUUGUUUAUUAAUCAAGAUUGUACUUGCAAAGUGUUUGUUAUUGUGUUUAAAAGGUAUUAUUAGAUUAUGUUUUUAAUUUUAUAUUAAUUUUUUUUAUAAUUUUAGAUUGUUUUAAUAUAUUAAUAUUAAAAAUAAAUUUUUUUUUUAAUUUUUUUUUUAAUAUAUCUUUAAAUAAAAAAUAUUUUUAAAAACACUUUACCACAAUCAUAAUAAAAAUUACUCUCAAAAGUGGGAUAUGCCAAGUUUCAUUCCUCGUUGGCUCCUGUGUCAGCUAGCUAGCUUGUUCCAUGAAGUGCAUGUAUGGUUGGACUAAUCUCAUCGACUCCAAUAUUGGAUGGCAAGUCAGACCUGUGGACAUGUGUUUUGAUAGCAUAAAAAUUUUAAAUUAAAAAUUGAAAUGAUGAUGUUUGUAUUUUAAAAAAAAUUUAAAAAUAUUUGCAUUAAUAAAUCAUAUAAAGAAUAGUUAAUCUAAUUAAAGCCUAAAACAGUUGGGUUGUUUUUUUGUUGUAAAAAAACAAAAAAAUAAAUGCAAGUGUAAAUAUUUAACCUAGUAACAUGGUUGCUUUUUAUUUUUUUUAUUUAAUUGUAUAAAAAUAAAAAUGAAUAUUGUUAAUAAAGAUAGUUAUUUGAAUUCUCUGGAAAAAUAUAUUUUUAGUUAAAAUUCUCUUUUCAUAAUAUAUUUUUUAAUUUGAAAAACAUAUUUUUGUAAUAACAAUAAAGUUUAUUGGAUAAAAAAUAAAGAAAACUACAAUAGAAAUUAGAAAUAUUGUAUUGAUUUAAAAUAAAGAGUGAACAAUGUAUCCAAUCAAAACUCCUUUUUUUUUUAUUAAUGUGUUUCUUUUUUUUAAUUAGGAAAACAUGUUUUUUUUUUUAAGAAAUAUUGUUAUUUUAAAUUAAAAAUUACCAAAAUCAUAUAUAUUUUAGAAUUUCUUACUUUUCUAUCAAAUAAAAUUAAGAUGUAUUUAAAAAAAUUAUAAAAAAAAUAUUUAAAUUAUCUUCGAAAUAUUUUAAAUAAAAUUCUAAUAAAUUUUUUUAUAAAAAAUAUUUAAACUAUUUUUGAAGUAUUAUAAAUAAAAAUCCUAAUUAUUUUUUUUUAAUUUUUUAUAGAUAUUGAAUCUGACAGUAAUGUCAAAUGGCACAAAUCCAAGAGCCUUGUAUCUAAUAGUCAUGCUAAACCCAAAGUAUUUUAGUAUGGCCAAUUCAGAUCUAAAAAACUUGGGUAUGACCAACAUUUUAAUUUGACAAACCAAAAAAAAAAAGAGGAUAAUUGAGCAGUUUAAUUUUCAGGAAAAAAAAAAGUAAAUAACUAGAGAAAUAUAAAAAGAUAAAAUUAAAAAUAAAACUCCUAUAAUUGCAAUACGCUCUUGAUUUACCAUGAUUUCUCUACCGCAUUUAACUUUUAUUAUAAUUGCAAUACGUUCCUUUUUAAGUAUUGUAAUAUUAUAUGAAUUAUCUAAAUGUUUAAAGAUUUUGAUAAAAAAAAAUCCCUGGCCCUUUAGGCCCGAAAGUGAGUGCAGGCAGGCACGCUUUGUUGUAUUCCUGGGAUGUUAUUUUUUUUAAAAUAUAGCUAGAAAAGAUAAAAAUAUUUAAAAAAUAGAACACUUUGAUUUAAUAUUUUAUAACCAUUAAUAGAAAUGAUAGUUGUAAAUAAUCAUUAUUGUUAUUAGCACUUAUAAACAGACGCUAUACAGCUACUAGGCGUGUUAUGUUACUAAUAAAAUCAGUUUUUUUUACUGUCAAAAUAUGGAUGGUCAAAUAUUUUAUAUUUACUUUUUUUUUUGUAACUUUCUCUUUCCUUUCAAAUUAUAAUAACUAUUGAAAUCCUAACAUGAAACCUUAGAAAACAUAUAUAGGGACUAAAACUGGAAAAAAAAACUUUGGGAAUAAACUAUAAUUUUCCAUGCUUCAUAAACAAUAAAAAAGAAAAAAAGGAUUUUUUGUUUGUGUGAAACUUGGUCAGCACUGUAUAUAUUUUUUUGAAUUGAUAAAAUUAAAUUAAGUUUUAUAAAAUUAAUGAUCAAUUUAAUGCCAUGGUAUUUUUCUUAUAUCAUGAAGACAGCACCACAAGCAAACCAAACCCUGUUAAAAUUAUGUGAAGAGAAUGAAAUUAAAAAAAAAAUGAAUAAUUGAUUAAGGAUAAAAAAAUAAAAUUAAAAAACCAAGUCGGAAUUAGAUGCACUGACUGCAUUUAGGAUAAUUGUGCAUCGUAGCUUGAUUUUGUAUCACUGUCACUGCAUAAAUUCCAGCUUUUCUGUUCAAAGAAUUUCAGAUCUUUUGUCCAUGCAUGUAUUUGACGCUAAAAGUUAAUCAAUGGCUACAGGAAAAGCUUUUAUAUGUGUGUGUGUGUGAUGAUCGUCAAUUCAAAAAAAAAAAAAAAAAAACAAUCCAGCAUAGUUCAAUAAAUAAUUGUUGCAUGCAGAUGAUAUAUAUUGAUUGGUAGUGAGUAUUUUGCUUUCGAUGACAUUAUUGGAUUCACUUUUCUCCUUGAAUGCAUUGUUAAUAAACUUGGGCUCAAAUUAACUUAGAUAUAUAAAAAGUUUUUUAAAAACCCAUGAACUAAAAAAAAAAAGUUAGAAAAAAACCUAUGAAAAUUCAGUAAAAUCCCAUAAAAACUCAGAAAAAGCAAAAUAGGUUUUGCCUGUUUUUGUUAAAAAAAAAAACCACACCAAACCAAAACUAGUUGGCUUGAACUGAUUUCUAGUUCAGUUUAAUUGUGAAAUUUUUUUUAAAAAAUAUUUGGUUUAUUUUUUAACCAAAAAUUAAUUUGAUCUCAACCAACCGUCAACUUGUUAUCUUCGUUUAAAGCCACUACUCUAAUAUAGCAUGACCACACAUCAUUUUAAACUUAGUCCUAUCUAAGUACUAGUUUAUAAAAGCAUAUGUUAAGUUAUUCAAAUAGUCUGUAUGUUAUAAAUCCUCAUGUAGAUGAUCAAAAAUUUUAGUUUCCACAAACCUGAGUGUAUCAUUUAGGUAACAUAUAACUAUCUAAAUCGAUAACUAAAACUUGAUUAAUUGCAUUAGAUUUUGGUAUUCAAAAUUUACACUCGUCAGGUUUUGAGUCAGAUAUUGAUAAUGUUUUAGGUUUGAAUUCAAGUAUAGAUAAUACAAAAACCUAACCCGUGAAUACCUAUUAUCAUUCCUUUACAAAGAUUCAAUGACCGAAUGAAAUUGUUGUACGUGUGUGGCGUCGUGAUGGGUCUUCCACUCUCAUAGGUUUGUCUAGGUAAUUAGUGUCGCACCCGACAUCGCGGCGGCCUUAAAAAUAAUGUUUCAUGGAAAGAAAAGAUUUUUGGCAUCUUGUUCUUUUAAGGAAAAAUAUCUUGUUUUUAAGGAGUCACCACCUAGUAUUAUGGUCACUAGGAACCCUAACUGGUCAAUAGAGAUUCUAUGGUUCGGGACUGGUUACGUAAAAGAGAAGAUAUUAUCACCCCUUAAACGUUCUGCCUGAGGCAGACUGCAUUGCUGGUUUUGUCUUAAAUUGCUAAACGUUUAUUAGUUUAGGCUAUGAUAAUUUGCUUAUAAUAUUCCUAACUCUGGCGACAGUGAAUAUUCAACUACGGAUACUUUCAACUCUGGCGUUGGUAAAUAUUACGUAGCUAUAAAAUAAAUUUAUAUCAAUAUUUUUAUUCUUGACUCUAGCAUCAGUGAAUAAACAAAUAAAAUAAAUUUAUUUUUACGCAUGCACAUAUUUUUUAUUUUUCUGGCUAAAUAAAAAUAAAAUACAAUGAAUAAUAUAAAUUUAAACCGGUAUUUUUAUUCAUGACUCUGACCCAAGUGAAUAAACCAAUAAAUUUAUAUUAUUUUUAUUCAUGCAUGCACAUUUUAUUAUUUUUUAUUUUUUUGGGCUGGGCUGGACCCAGCGGCCCGGCCCGGUCACUGGCCCAAGCCAGUGACCCGGCUGGCCCCUUCUUUUUUUUACCCGCAGGCAUGCGUGAACUGCUCACGCACGCCUGCUACAGAAACAUGAUAAUUAAAAUGAAAGGGGAGGGAAACGCAGCUUACCUGUUGCUGUACUUGAAGAUGUGGUGACGGUAAUGGAGGGCCGGCCGGUUAAUGCAACUUUCCACUCCUGCGUUCCUUUUUUCUGGUCUGCUUUCUCUCUGCCUUUUUAUUUCUGGUUUCCUUCUCCUUCUACCUCUCUCCUUCUGUCCCUCUCUAUAUCUACUUAUCUCUCUGUCCUCUGCUUCUUCUUCUUCGUCUUCCGUCCUCUGUCUCUGGUUCUACCACAUUCUCGGUGUCGUCCCCUUUCUUUUGUGAUUCUUUGUUCUGCUGCCUCUGGUUCUGGAGGCUGGUUGCUGAAGACUGUGAAGACGAUGGUUCAUGCCGGUUCUUGUCUCUGCGCUUUCGUCCGCUGGGUUGAGUUUGCGUCUCCUUUGCUCCUGGUUUUUAUAUUCUGUCACCUUCAGUUCUGAGAUGAAGGGACAAAGACGAUGGUGGGGCUGAUCCUCGUCUCUGUGUCGUUCCUCUGCUUUUUCUCUCCUUCUCGGUUUCUUUGUUCUUUUUUCUGUGUUAUUCGUUCUCUGUCCCCCCUGUAUGCUUCCCCUGUUUUUUCUCUGUUCAGCUCUGUGAAUUUUUGUUCUCUGCCGUUCGUGGCUUUUCUUUUUUUCUCUCCCCCGGUGCUCAGUCGUUCUAUGGCUUUUAUAGCCAGAGAAAACAAUGCCGUUUCUUCCAACCAUAAAGUGUGAUAAUUGCAGAAGUAAUGGCUGUGCCUGUGCGGCGGUGGGUGUCCGUUUCGGUCGGGUGAGGAAGAUGAACAGUAACUGGAAACGGUGUCGUUUCGGUAUUCACAGUUAUAUGCAUUGUGGCCCUUGAAGUUUGGAAAGUGUUGUAAUUAAGCCCCUGGUUAAAUUGUAAUCGGACCCCUGCAUUUCGGCUCCUUUUACAAGUUAGUCCUUAGAUUUUAAUUGUUGCAAUUUGGACCCCAAUUAAACUCCAAACUUUGAUAUUUCUUCAAUUAAGUCCCUGAUUUCAUUAAUUUAAUUAAAUCCAAAGUCCAAUUAAGUCUGAAACUUAUCAAUUCUCCAACUAAACCCCUGAUUGGAUGAAUUAAAUUAAUUCCAAGCUUAAUUAAGUCUCAAAACUUAUCAAUUCUCCAAUUAAACCCUUGAUUGGAUGAAUUAAAUUAAUUUCAAGAUCAAUUAAGUCUCAAAACUUAUCAAUUCUCUAAUUAAACCCUUGAUUUGAUUAGUUGAAUUAAUUCCAAAGUUUAAUUAAUCCCCAAAACUUCCAAUCAUGGUGCCCUUAACCCAAUUUUAAUUUAUUCUUCAUUUUUUAUUUGCUUUUCAUCAUCAUUAUUUUUAUUAUCAUUUUUCAGUAAAUAAAAUAAUAGUAAUAAUAAUAAUAUAAAAAUGGUCAAAAAUUGAGUUAUGACAAUUAGGAAAAUGAAAAAGACAAGAAAUUCUUAUCUUUUAUCAGUGGAAAGAGGGAAUAAGAGUUGUCACCUAAUAUUUUGGUCACUAGGAACCCUAACUGGUCUUAGAGAUCGGACAUGGGGACUGGUUGCGUAAAGAAAAAAUAUCAGCAAGAAGAUAUAUGCUAAGGUAUAAUUGUUGUUCCGUUUAUGGUUAAAAAAAAGUCCUUCUCAGUAAGAAGAUCAUUAUUUUAUUGGGUAAAACAUAAUCAUUCUAACAUCAAUAAAAAGAACUAGCUUAUUAAUAUUGGGGAUUCGUUUUACGUACGAGCUCGAAAUCCUUAAUAUUAAAAGAAAACAAAUUGAUUUUUUUGGAAUUUUUGAAAUAUUCACCUAGUUUUCAUGAAUUUAAUAAACUAGUUAUUAAAACUGAAAUGCAUGUUAAAACAUAUUUUUAAAUUUUUGAUGUAUGAAAAUACAAUAUGAUUUUUUUUUGAAAGACUUCGCUGUAUGCAUGAAAACAAGAUAUUUUUUUUGUUGUUUAUAAUUUUUCUCGAUGUUUCGAUGAAAAUCGGGUAUUUUAAUAUCAAAUUUGCAUCUUUAUGGUAUAAAAAUACAAACCAAUAAUAAUCAAAAUAGAUAAAAAAUACACGGGAAAAUAAAAAAAAUUAGAAAGGAUUUUUUUAAAAAAUUGGAUUGGGUUGGGUCGGACUUAUCCAGCUCAGUGAACAGUGGAGUACUCUCUAGUGUUCACGUUAACAAUGAAGAGUGAAUCAAUUCACUUAGUGAAUAGUGAAGGAAACCGACGAAGAUAAAGAGGAGAAUGAGGAAGAAGGAAGAGGGGCGGACUUGCGGUGGCUUUGUGGCGGUGCUGGUGGUUGCUGACCGGAGAGUUGCUUGUUCGGUGGUUGGUUCUUCUUCUUCUCUGCGUAUUUUCCUUAUGUUCUUCUCCUUUUAUUCUAUAGCGGAGGCGGCGGCAGUGACAUUAGAGGCAGACCGUCUACAGGCGGCGGUUGCUGCAAUUUUCUUCUUCUUCCCUGUGCAGAGGGCCCGGCCUCUGUUUUUCCUGUUGGUCGUUCUUCCCUUUUCUGUCUUUUUUGCUUACUCUGUUUUCAGUGUAGUCGUUCUCAGUGGCAGCGGUGUUGGUGGUGGAAUGAAGGUGGUCGCUGCGGUGGCUCUUUUUUUUCUCUCUUCUACUUCUUCCCUCUAUUCCUUCCUAUUUCCCACAAACAAUUCCCCAGCCCUUUCUCAAACUGUCUUUCUAUUUCCUUCUCUCUAUAUUAUUCUCCCAGAACAAUUUUUCUCCCCCCUUUCUCUCAAAUCUCGCCCUGUAUUUAUAGGAAGCUAGGGGAGAGGGUCACCAUACCCUGUCCAAGUGCAGGGCAUGGUGACCGAGGUAUGGGUCAUCUUUCUUUCUUAUUAUGGUGGCAUGGGCAUAUGAGUAUGGGUUUUUUAAGGUUUGUGCAAGUGGGGGGAAGAGAGAGAGUAGGAAAAAACAUUCAAAAUCCUUCAUCUUCCCUGUCUCUAUGUUCGUAGGGAAGAAGAAGAUACACAGUGCCGUUCAAAACGACAUUAUGUAAUUUUUUUUAAAGGUGCAUGAAAUGAAUUUGAGGAAUAACAAAAAAAAAGGGUUAUGGAAACUUUUUAUUUAAGAAAAAUAUUUGAAAAGCUUAAAGAAUUUUGAAAAUUAAUUUUGAAAAAACAUAUAUUUUUUCAUAAUAUUAUGGAAAUAAAAAAUUGAAAACUACAAGUCACAAAAAUUCUUAGAAUAUUUAGGAAAUAUAAAAAAACCAUUUGGGUGUUAAUUGGGCAAAACCACACACUCAUUUGUAUGCUAAAAAAUAAAAGCGAGAGAAGUUAUAUCCACACUAGGUUGGAUCCUAGUCAAACUGGGUUAAAAUCCAUCUCAAUCUCAAUUAGACAGGAUGAUUCCUGAUAUCUAUUGAGUGAUGACGUUUUCGUCCCUAAUUUUAUGAGGUUCUUGGCUUACAUAAUAUUAGUCCCUUAUCUCUAAUUGUUUUCCAAAUUUGGUCCCCAACCUAGUUAUAAUUUUCAACCAACUGGUCCAAGAAUUCUCAAUUGGAUAUGUCCAUAAAAAAUUUGCUUAAGAAUUUUUUCAUCUGAGUCCACACCUAUAGAUAACUUCAAAGUAUAAUAUUUGAGGAUGAAAGGAUCAGAUUGAUAAUUCAUAGAUACUUUUUGGACCCAAUUGCUUAAAUAUGUAGGUUAGGGACACAACUGAGAAAAGGGUAAUAGCGAAUAAGUUGAGUGCAAAUAUGAGAAUAUUAUCCCCUUUCUAAAACAUUCCAAGGCAUCUCUUCUUUGGAGAAGAUUUAUUAGAGUUUGUGGAGGAGUACAUCCUAAUCCUAUCAGAAUGAUAUUAAUGUAGAUCAGAAUUUUAAUUUCAAUUGAUGGCGAUUUAGUUUAGUAAAAAGAAAAGAUCAACGGAGCACGGUUUUCUCAACAGACAAAACCAUGCCUAGGGAACAAGUCAGAAUAAAACAAUUUAUAAGUUGCAAAAUGAAUCGGAAAAAAGCAUUUCUUUUGUAUAUUUUAUAGCUUCAUGUGAACAAGGUUUAACAAAACAUAAAGUGAAAAGGAAAUCAGUACAUGUAAAACAAUGUAGCAUAAGUACAUAUAUAGUAAGAAUAAUAUAUACUACGUUGUUCACAUUAUAGAACAACCAUGAGGGUUUUCAUCGCUGAAAACUGCUCCUGUCUGGUGGUUAAAGAUGGAGGAAUGCACAGGAUGAUGAUAAUAACCAUGAUCGUUGCUAUCGUAUCCAUGCUUGUAGUAAUUGUAAGAAGAGGAAGGCUGAGGAGCAUAGUAAGUAAGUGGACCGUUAACUUGGUGUUGGUUGUAGGAAUGGUCAGAAUAGCUAUGAUGCUGUGGAUUGUAAGGUAAUUGCCAGAGCUCAGCCCUUCUUCCUGUCUUACGAACUGUCUUAAGAACCUUCUUUUGGUCAGCCCAUCCUGUGACCGUCACCUUUUGCAACCCCAUAUCUAUAUCUAUGUCAUCUACGCCUGUGCGUGCAUACAUAUAAUAAAUACAAAAGUUUAAGAUAUAGUCCAAGAAAAUAUGUCCAAAGAAAACCUUAAAAAGAGAGGAACAGAGAAAAUAAUUCAUGAAAAAAAAACAGGAUGAUUAAGAUGAAAAUUGUCGCAUGCAUAAAGUUUUUAGUGGAGGUGAUUUCUUACCUUUGACUUUUUCCAGAGCAAUUUUCACCUUGCUCUCGCAUCCAGCACAAUCUAUAUGCACUCUCAUUUCUAUGAUCGACUGAGUAAAAUACAACGAAAAUUUUCAAUACAACUGUGCCAUUCUUUCUUUUCAGUUGUAAUAUGAUACGAGAAAAUUAAUAUUAAUUAAUAGAAGACUCUUACUAAUUAACCUACGGUUAUAUAAUUUCAUCCACAACAUCUAUACACGCUUACCGCCAUUGUAACUUUUGCUGCUGAAGCCUGAAUUUGAUUGUAGAGAAGAACGAUUGAGUUGAAGAGUAUGAUAGUAUGAAUAUGUCAAACAAGGUGCUAUAUGCUCUCUAUAAAUAGAACAUGUAAUUUGAUAAAAUAAUGGGAAUGAUUGGACUUGUAACUUAUUAUAUAAUUUAAUAUUGGACCGACUUUCUUUUCAUAUAAUUACUUUGCAAAUGAGAUGCUGGAUCUUGAAGGAAAGACCUACGAGAAUUAAUUAAUUAUCAAAGAAAAUUAGACUCUACCAUGUUAAAGAGGACGUCGUCAUAGACAAAUUCAUAAUGCAAGGGCGUGCACAUAGGUAAUCAUUCUCCUCUAUGAGCAUUGACUUUGCAGCCUGGUAUUAAUAAAUAUUGACAAAAAUAAAUAAUUACAUAAUAUAGAAGUGCAAAGCAAGUUUACAAUUAAUAUGCUUAAAAGAGUAUGAUUAACUCAUGUCACUUGACCGUUGGAACCGGUGGUGGAAAUUGUAAACUUCACAUGAUAUAUAGCGAUUCCAUCGGAUCCUGUUCUUUUCAUUCUCUCAUGAAGAAGUAAUGAUUUUAUUUUAUUUUAAUUCGAAUUAGUGUUUGAUUGUUAUACCAGUUAAUUAUUAGUAAAAAAAAAACAAUAUAAAUUGCAUCCUGAAAUUUUCUCUAAUUAAAUUUAUUUAAAUUUGUGAGUACUAAAAGGAAUAUAUUUGGUGAAAAUUUACAAGUUAAUAUAUUUUUUUAUUUUAGUUUUCACUGUUUUUCUUAAAAAACCAUGCAUGGUAAUACAAGCGCAUUCAAGUUGUAGAAAAACAUUUAUGAAUUGAAAAAACAAAACCUAAUUACAAAAAAUAAAGAAAUUAGCAUCACACGACAAUUAGCGAAAAGAUCUUCUUAUAUGUGUCUAAAUAUACAAUCUUUCAUGUAUUUCAGUUUUCAUCAAAAACUUUGCACCCAAAAAAAAAAACUCAAAACUAAUUCAUAAAAGGAAGCGAUUUUGGCAUCAGGAUCAGAAUUCUGUGAGGCAGAAAGGCACUUGAAAAUGUUUUCGAAGAUAUAGAUAUUUAUUCUCUUCAAGAUUCUCUCUACUGUUGAUGUACAUGAUUAUUUCCUCCAGGAUAUAGGUAUAUUCUUCAUCAAGAAUUUUAGACGUAUUACAUUUAAGUAUAUCAUCAUAAAAUAAUUCUUCAAAGUAUAUAUAGUUCUUAUAUUCUAAUUUUUUAAAUGCAAAUUAGUUAAUAUGUUCCAGGUUAUUAUAUAUUAUGAUUUUCUGUGUCUUAUUAAUGUACACAAUAAUAAUUUUCAAUGAAAAUAAGUCUCUCCUUCAUAAUGAUGCACUCUCUGAGUUUCCAGAGGGAUAAGGUGUGUAUUCAAUUAUUAGAAUUAUUUUUUAUUCUUCAUUGAAAAAUUAAGCACAAUUCUCGUAUAGAUUGAAAAAAAAUGAUAAAUGGGCAGAUGCUAAAUCCAAUUGGAAUGUGUAAUGACCUGUUAAAAGUUAGGGAAAGUGUAAAAAUAUGUAGCAGAAAACCAAUCUCGAGUUUAAUUGCUUGUACCUACGGUAUAUAUCACAUCAUUCUUCGGAUCAAACUGUCUACAUGUGUGCAUGGAAUCCUAUGAUAUUGAAUUAAUAUAAAUAUAUAAUACUAUUUUAUACUUUUUGUUUGAUUGAUUUAGAUAAUUAUUUAAUAUGAUAUUUAAUACAGGUUUAUCAAAUAAUUAUAAAUUAAAAUCCUAUUAUAUACAAUAAUUCAUGAUAUUCAUUCAAAAUUUAACCAAUUUUCUGGGUUGAAUCGUUUUUUAUAUAAAAAAUAAUAAACAAUGGCCAGAACGUUUUUUAACAUGAACAACGUUUUUUAGCAUCAUGGGAAUAAUUUCUAGGCAUAAUGGGCCUUACAGCAAAAUGGUCUGAACGUGGGCUUUAUAAGUCUAAAGUCAGGAUUAUAGAUCGAGUCAUAAGGUCCAAAACGAAGUUGACUUCUCCUUUUUACUUCAUGUGAUUUCUAAUUCCAUCUAAUCUUUCCUUUCAUAUGGACUUUAACAAAAAAAAAAAAAAAACCAACGUUUUUGACGUUAAUAAUGAUAUAAAAUAGCAUAAUUUGCAAUACCUUCCAUUUAAUUAUUGUAAUAUUAUAUGAAUUAUCUAAAUGUUUAAAGAUUUUGAUAAAAAUUUCCUUUAUAUUUAAUAAAUAUUACAAAAACUCCUUUACGUAUCCCAAGUCGCCGUAGUUUAAACAAUAUAUAUAGUAUAUAAUAUAAAUAUAUAAUAUUAAAAUCAAUUUCUAUCAAAUGUGUUAAUAUUGUGUUGACAAAGCAUUUUUAUUUAAAACAGAAGCUAUCAAGAUUUGAUUCUUAGUUUAAAUAAUUUUUAUAAAAAAAAGUUAAACGGAUCAACUCAAAAAACUAAUUUAAUUUCAAAUUAAACUCUAAUUAAACUCUAAAUCAAUCUGCUUUACUCGAUCAACCCCCUCCCCCCUAAAAAAACAAAAACAAAAAACACAAUGAGACAGGAUUGCAUCAGAAUUAAACUUGGGCUCUAUGGACAAACCUGCAGAGGGGACGAGACAGUUUAUGAAAUAUAUAUUUUUAUUUUUAAAAUUUAUUUUUAAUAUAACACAUCAAAAUAAUAAAAAAAUAUUAAUUUAAAAAUAAAAACAAAAAUUCCACCCUAGAGUCUUCUUUUCCGCGGAUGACGAGGUUUUGAGCAAUGCGAAACACGUUGAACAGGACCGAAACUUGAUUCUCGAAUCAUUUCAAGCACCGAAACCAGUGAAGAAAUGGACCAGACUUGUGUUCUUUGCUCUUAUUUUUAUACAAGAAUAUGGUUGUUUUUUGAAAUUUAUUUUUUAAAAAAUUACUUUUUAAAACUUUUUUAUAUUUAUUUGUUAUCAUAAAAAAUUGAUUAAUGAAAAACACUUUCCAGUUAAAGAAAAAAAAUUUGGUUUGGUUUUUAGGAAAGUAUUUUCCGAAAAAUUUGGAUGGAAAAUACUUUCUGGAAGUUGUGAAAAAUUUAGAAAUGUGAUAUUAUUUGCUGAUUAUAUUAAAUUUGGUCCUCAACCUUUUGAUUGCUAUAUAUAUUUUAUUUUAAAUAUUUAUUUUUCAAUUUCAUCCCUUAAAAUUUAAUUUUUAUAUUAACUUUAAUCCUCAUUUUUAUAAUUUUUAUUUGCUUUUUCCUUAUCAUUUUUUUAUUAAAAUUUUUUAUGUAUUAAAUUUGUCCUCAUUUUUUUGAUUGUUACUUAUUUUAUUUGAAAUAACUUAUGAAGUGUUAAUUAUUAUUAUUUUAAUUUCUUCAUCUUAUAUUUUUUUUAUUUUUUAGAUUUGAUCUUUAUUAUUUUGAUUAUUAUUUAUUUUAUUAGAAAUAAUUUAUGAAAUUUUUUUUUUUAAUUUUAUUUUCAUUCAACUUUUUAAUUUGUAAGAUUUGUUCCUCAUUAUUUUAAUAAACUUGAGAAAAAUAAAAUAUUAAUAAGUUAUUUUUCAGUUUAUUUUUCAUGAUAUAAUCAAAUACUAGAAAGUGUUUUUUAAUUUAUUUUUUAUUAUAAUACCAAACAUAAAAAAAAUUAAUUUACUUUUCUAAAAUUUAAUUUUUAAAAAAAAAGUUUUCAACAAGCAAACAGGCUUAAUUGCGUUCAUACUUUUCACCGUGUGAACAUGUUGACAAAGGCUACGUACGAGACAAGAUAAAAAAUCAAAUCAGUCCAGAAAUUAUUUGCUCAAGGCAAGGGAAGAAAAUUCAAAAGCAGCUGCCAGCCAAGCAAAUGCCAAAUCACUGGUAAAGUUAACCGAUCAGAAAUAUUUGUGGGACCAGGAAAUCUUCGCACGGUCUAAUUCUGGGACCAUACCAUGUGGCAUUCAAGAGUCAAUUUUUAUUUUUUUAUUUUUUUAUUAUCGUCAAAAAUUUUAAAAUAUAGCACAAAGAAUAAAAGUAUUUCAAAAAUAAAAUACUUUGAUUUAACCGUUUCUUAUGAAACGCUAUUUUAUUGUACACCCACAGCCACUAAUAGAAAUAGUAAAAUAACAGCUGUUGCGUCGAGGCUUGUGGCAAGUGUUCUUGGCAAGGGUUUUUUUUUUUUUUUUCCUCCGUCUCCUAGUUUCGAGUCUCAGUAUAUAUGUUUAUCAUUUCUAUGGUGUUUUAUUUGUUUAAAGUGAAUCUAGAAAUUAAUUAUAGUACACCCAGACAUCCCAAAUUAAAAAAAAUAUAAUAAUAAAAAAUAACCGCUAUUGUUAUUAGUGGUUAUAUUAAUAAAUAUAUAUAUUUUUAUAAAAAACUCAAAUUCUACCCAAAGUCUUCGUUUCCGCGGAUGACACGUUAAAAUUGGGCUCCGUGGACAAAAAUGCAGAGGGGACGGAACAGCAGUGGAAGGAAAAAGAAAAGGACAGACUUGUGUUCUUUGUCUGUGAUAUUAUUUUUAUUUAAAAUACUGUUUUAAAAAUAAUUUAAAUUUUUUUAAUUUUUAAUUAUUAUUUUUUUAAUAUUUUAUACUGAUGUUAAAAAUAAUUUUUAAAAAAUAAAAAAAAUAUUAUUGUAAUACUUUUAUAAAUAAAAUACUUAAAAAAUAAUUUAACAUGCAAACCAAGCCCAACUGUCAUGUUAAAAUUAUGUGAAGAGAAUGAAAUUGAAAAUAAUAAUAAUAAUAAAAUGAAUAAUUGAUUAUGGAUAAAAAAAAAAAAAAAAAAAGCAAGUCGGAAUUAGAUGCACUGACUGCAUAUAGGAUAUAAUUGUGCAUAAUUGCUUGCUUUUCUAUCACUGUCACUGCAUAAAUUCCAGCUUUUCUGUUCAAAGAAUUUCAGAUCUUUUGUCCAUGCAUGUAUUUGACGCUAAAAGUUAAUCAAUGGCAACAGGAAAAGCUUAUAUAUAUUUUAUGUAUAUAUAAUUGUUGAAUCCAGCAUUAGUUCAAUAAAUAAUUGUUGAAUCCAGAUGAUAUAUUGAUUGGUAGUUGAAUUAGAGUAUUUUGCUUUUGAUAACUUUAGUGGAUUCACUUUUCUCCUUGCAUGCAUUAAUUAACUUGGGCUCAAAAUAACUAGAUAUAUAAAAAGUUUUUAAAAAGACCCAUAAAACUAAAAAAAAUAAGUUUUUAAAAACCUAUGAAAAGUCAGUAAAAUCCCAUAAAAACUCAAAAAAAGCAAAACAAGUUUUGCCAGUUUUUGUUAAAAAAAAACCAAACUAUCAUAACUUAAAGCUCUUUUAGUGAAAGGUUUCCUUUUUACGAUAUAGAAAAAGAAGGCAGAUAAAUAUAUACUUGAGUGAGUCACAUAUCAACGACAAAACUUGACUGAUCCUGUGCAUGGCCAUGACAUUUUUUCUCUAUGACAAGACCGCUAAAAAGAAAUGGUACGAUAGAAGAAGUGGCCAUGGACAGCGAGGUCAAGGAGAAAUGGCCGGCCAUGGACCCCUAUAAAGUCCGAAUCAAGAUGUGAAAGAAAGGAAAGGUGGAAGAGAGCCCUCUUUCUUUUAGUGGUGAUAUUGGUAUUAGCAAGUUAGCCCACUACUAGCUACCGGUAAAUGUCUUUGCAUUCAAAGUGCGAGAAUACUUGUCUAAAACGAAUACUUUUAGAAAGAUUACAGGCAUAUAUAUGGCUUCCAUACCAUUGGCUUAACACUAACAGCAUAGGUAAUGAAAUUGUGAAAAACAUUUAGAUAAAAAUUGGGUUUUUCAUGGCCGUCCUGGGUUGAUGGUGUGGUUGGGCUUGGCAGGUUCAUGAGCUUUUCUACAAAAUAAAACGCUUGUAAACAAUAGAAAACUCUUUGAUACUAAAAUUAGUAAGUAUAAGAGUGCAGAGUGUGCAGAGUUUUUGUGUGUAGAAUGGAAGAUACUAUUUUAGUCUGUAUUUCCAGGACUUAUCUCUUGUAUAACUUGGCUCUAGCUUUGUGUGGCUUAGAACUGAUAUCUUGCAAGGCUAAAGCUUUCAAUAGCUAAGAGUAGCUUUGGCUUUCUUUUAUAUAUAUAUAUAUAUAUAUAUAUAUAUGGAGAUGUAGUCUUGAACUUAUUUUAUGGAGAAAAAAAAUAUUUUCAUAAAAAAUUAAGUCAUUAGAUGAUGUGUCUUGCUUGCUAUUAGUGGAGAUGUUGGUGGCAAUAUUUUCUUACCAAUUUUGUAAUGUGUUAUGGAGAUUUUUUUUUCUAUUUGUUUAAAUUGCAUCUUAUUCUUCAGGAGAUUUCCAGGAUUUUUUUUUUUUUUUUUAUGGUUAAAGCUAGACAACAAUCUCCUUAUCUUCAGUUCUUCAAGCCACAAUGUCCCUGAUAAUUCAAAACCACGGGAAAGUGAUUCAUGCCAAGUUGGGGGCAGUUUUGUCUAGUAACUAACGGUAAUCAAUACAUUAGGAAUUGAUUUUUUUGCCAUCAAUACAUUUUUACUCCGACUUCAAAUUAGUAACUACACCAAAUUUCGAAAAAUACUCAGUUAUUGUAUAGAUGAUUGAAGAAGAACAAAUAAAAUUCUAUUUCUUUUAAGGACAAAGCAAAAAUUUGUGGUUAAGGAAGGUGGUUGUAGUUGCUUUUCAAAGUGUUUUUUCAUGUCGAAAUACAUCAAAAUGAUAUUUUUUUAUUUUAUAAAAAUUAUUUUUGAGAUCAGUGUAUCAAAACAAUCUAAAAUAUACAAAAAAAUUAAUUUUUCACAAAAAAAAAUUGAAUUUAUUAGAAACACGGGUUGGCCAUACGUGGUUCCAAGCUCAAAGAAUUGAAACACACAAUGCUAUAAAAUUUGAUCCAUAUGUGGUCUGUUGAGGAAAGAAAGGGCUAGAAUAAUUGCAUGAUGAUCUACAAUGAGUGAAAAAAUUGAGGUUCUUAGUGCCAUAUCUUAUUUGAUUUUUAUAUAUUUAUUUAGCCUUUUUUUUCUUUAAAAGUUGGAUGAUCUAUUUCAAUAAAUUCAGAGGCAAUUCAGCCAAGUAUAUUCUUAAAUUCAAAGUGGCAGAAAAACCUGCACCAAAAAUUGAUACUUGCUGUAUUAAAGCAACUUUCAAAGUCUUCUUAACAAGACAAACCCUAUUUAUGACAUUGAUGCAUACCAACCGUUGCUUUAAUUUUUCUUUUCCGCAAAAAACAGUUCCUUUAGUUCUUGCCUUGGAUCCAAGUCUAAAAUUUAAAUGUGGCUGACAACCUUCGUGGAAAGUUCAAUUUUUAAAGUAGCUUGACCUUCUUCGUCUCUUGAACCCAAAAAUACUCUAUUAUGAUUGUCCUAGCAAACAUGCUCUUAAAGCCACAUUAUCCUUGAUAAUUCUAACCAUGGGAAAGAGAUUGCUUUUGCUUUUAUAUAUAUUUUUUAAAAGUAAAUCAAAAUAAUAUUUUUUUUAGUGUUUUUUAAUAAUUUUGAUAUGUUAAUUUUAAAAGUAAAAAAAAUUAAAAAAAAUAUUAUUUUAAUAUAUUUCAAGCAAAAAAUAUUUUUUAAAAAUAACACAUAUUGUAAUAUCAAACAUACACUAAGUCACAUGCAAUUUUGUCUAAUACCUAGUUAAUGUAGCUAACUACCUGAUAGUAACCUGUAGCAGUACAACCAUGAAACGACAAGUCAAAAUUAAAAUAUAUCAUUAGAAUUGAAAAAAUAAAACGCCAAUUAGAACAAAAUGGACUGUGAUUAUAGGAGGGACCACAUGCUGUUAAUAUAUUUAUUAUGAAAUAUAUCCUUGAAUGAGGAAAUUUAUGAGAUAUGCUUGUGAUUACAGAAGGGACCACGGGCGUGGUGUAGCAACAACAACAUGCAGCAGAGAGGCACAGGUAGAGCUUUUAGAUAGGUGAUCUGCACCUAUACUUUCUAGUUAAGUUUCAUGAUUUAAUAUGUUAUUGAUGUGAAAUAUGAAUUAAUGAAUGUUGGAUAUUAUAUGAAAGAAUGAAAGUUUACGUAAUGAUGUUGUUAUUUUGGAUAGUAUCCCGAAUGUAUAUGUGUUUAAGGUGAAAGGUCUUUCACAUGAAUUGCCAAGUGAUAGAAGUAUCGCUGACAUUCAAAAUAUGAGAAGAGUGAUAUGUGGCAUGGACUAAUAUAUAUUUUAGUGUAUGUUAGAAUCUCAGGUAAGGGGAUCACCAUGCAUCGAUGCUUAUGGGGCAUGGACGAGCAUACAUUUAAUGUAUGUUAGGAUCCUUGGAAAGGGGAUCACCAUGUAUAGACUAGCAUAUAUUUAGUGUAUGUUAGGAUCUCGGGUAAGGGGAUUAUCAUGUAUCGGCUAGCAUAUAUUUAGUAUAUGUUAGGAUUUCGGGUAAGAGGAUCAUCAUGCAUUGACUAGCAUACAUUUAGUGUAUGUUAGGAUUCCGGGUAAGAGGAAUAUCAUGCAUCAAUGUCUAUGGGGUGAUGAUGAUACCGGUGAAAUUGGUAUCGACAAUGUGUUAGGCAGAAAUAGUUGUGGUUGAUUUUAUGGAAUCUUGAAUGGAAGUUGAAAAUAAAAGAUGAAACAGUUUUUAGUAGUUGAAUGAGAAAGAGUUCCAUUGAAAACUAAAAGGAAGAAGUGAAUAGAAUAUGAAUACAUGUUUGCCUUUUUAGAUUGUUGGAUUUUUUGGCGUUACUAUAUUUAUUGUGAUAUUCAUGUUUCAAUAAUAUGUAUUUUGUUCAGGAUCAUCGCAUGCACGACAGGAGUAGAUCCUAACUUUUGUUCAUUUUUUGUUAUCUAGUUAUAGGGAGUAUAUCUUUGUAUUUUGUAAUAUUAAAACAUUUAUAUAACUUAAUUUGUAUAAUUAAUGUUUAAAUUUGAAUAGAUGAACUUAACUCUGAAAUUCAUAUAAUCAUGUUCCAAGCAUGCGUGUUUAUCUCAUUUCUUUCUCUAUAAUGGUAAUUGUUGUUCAAUGUUUGCUGUAAAUAUUAUGGUUGUGAUGAUGAUGAUGAUGAUUGAUUUGUGAGAUGUGGGAUAUUAGAAGUGUAAACAGGUUAUUUGUCGAUAACUUGGGAUCUCCUGGUAUAGGGAAGACUCUGUUGAAAUUUCGGUAGAAAUUUUUGUAGAUUUUUAUAUGAAAACUGUAUAAAAAAAAUUACAUUGUUUUUCAUUUGAUAUGUGAUUGGUGUUUUAUAAGGGGAUAUUACAUAUCUGAUUUCAUCAUUCUACAUUAAGUCUCUCUCUCUCUCUUUUUUAAAUUUUGAUACUUUUUAAUAUGUUUUUUUAAAUAUAUGUUUCAAUUAAUAUCCCUCCUCUAUGAUUUUUUAUUUUGCUUAUUCAUUACGCCAUUAAACAGUUUUACCGACGGAUUAAUUCUGUCGGUAUAAGGAACAAAAAUUGUCAGUAAUAAUGUUACCGACGGAAUCUCCGACGGAAUAAUGCCGUCAGAGUCAUGAGCGUCGGUAAUUUCGCAUUCCGUCGCAAUUUCUGUCGGUAAUAAAAAAACAAUUACCGACGGAAAUGCCAACGGUAUUACAGACGGCUAUGCGCGCCAAAAAAAAAAUUUCAACGGUAAUUACUGACGGAUAUUCCAUCGGUGAUUGUGGCAUGGAAUUACCACAUGAAAUAAAAAAGCUCCGUAAAAGAAGGAUACAGCACAGUCAGUCACGUGAACCACAUGAAAUAAAAAAGCUCCGUAAAAGAAGGAUACAGCACAGUCAGUCACGUGAACCACAUGAAAUAAAAAAGCUCCGUAAAAGACCACUUAUAAAAACUAAGUUUUUUGUUUUAUCCAAACACUAUAAUCCGUGUUUGUGAUAAAAAAAUAGAUAUUUUAAAAUAAUUUUAUUGUGAUGAUAUUAAAAAUAAUAUUUUUUAAAAUAAAAAAUAUUAUUUUAAUAUAUUUUUAAAUUAAAAAUAUUAAAAAAAAAAACAAUAUUUGACACUCUCUCAAAUACCCCUUCAUCCAGGGAGGCAACAAACCACAGAAAUCAGCAGCUUGUGAUCAGUUGAGGAGUGGAACCUUCAUUUGUUUACAUUUCAUUUAGUGAGUUUCUCUAAGCUACAAAAUAGAAUGGAUCCUGUCUUGUUCAAAGUUGCAGAAGCAGGCAAUAUCGGUCCCUUCGAGAAUUGUCAAACCUGCCUUGAUCAGUUAUUGACACCAGACGAGAACACCAUUCUUCAUGUCUACUUGAAAAACCAAAGCAGAGAACCGGAAUUCACUGAUUUUGUUGAUACAAUUCUUGUGGCUUGGACAAGUGUAAUAACAGCCCGGCCUUGUCAUAAAGAGUUGCAAGGUCAACAAGAAAGGUGUAGGGUUAUAUUUUUGAUAGUAUGCAUUUGACAUUGAAGGGAUGGUUAAGAAAAAAAUUAUCACUUCAAGUUUUGGCGGGGCUGCCCAAGGUGUCACCCAGGCCCACGCCUCCAAGUGAGGGCACUUGGCGCUUGGAUUGACCUGUCCAUGUGCUGGGGUAGGCCACACGCCACGUGGUGUUGGGGCUGACUUGCCUUUGACCUUGCCCUGGCAUGAGUAAGGCACACACCCUCAUGUGGGGACACGAUCACGACCAACUCCAGGUUGGGCCUGGACCUGUCCGUGCCCAACCACAAGUUGGACUAGGACGCGUCCAUGUCCACCCCCACGUCAGUUUUUUAAUAUUAUUAUGUGUUUAAAAUAUUAUUAUUUUUAUUAUAACUCAAAAUAUUGAUAUAAAAAAUAUUAUUAUUUGUAUUGUAAUCGUCCUUGAAAUUUUUAAUAUAAUUAUUUAUGUUAUAAAUAUUAUUAUUUUUAUUAUAAUUAAUAGUAUGAAUAUUAAAAAUAUUAUCAUUUUUGUUAUAAAAAAUAUUAUUUUUAUUAUAAUUAAUAUUAUUAAUAAAAUAAUUUAAAAAUUUUUAAAAAUAUUAUUAUUAAUAUUAAAAAAUAUUAUUUUUUAUAUUAUAAAUUUCUAUAAUAUUUUUUAUAAAAAUAAAAAGUGAGCAGCUGUAAUGUGAACAUCCUGCUAGUAUACACUAAAUCUCCUACCAUUUGUCUAGUAGCUAGUUAAUGCAACCACCAACCUGAUAGUAAUUUGUACUUGUACAACCCUGAAAUGACAUUUUAAAACACUUUAAAAUUAAAAUAUGUGGUUCCAAUUAAAAAAAUAAAAAAGCCCAAAUACAACAAAAUAGACAAUUUGUGGUAUAAUCUGUGUUUUUGUUCAAAAUGUGAAAAAAAAUUGAAUUUUUUUUUUAUUAUAAGUUAAUUUGUUUUAUAUUUUUAUAUAAUUUUAAUGUGAUAUAUCAAAGCUGCGGAAGAAGGCAAUAUCGAUCCCUUCAAGAAUGAUCAAACCUGCCUCAAUCACUUAUUGACAAAAGUGACGUGGAUACACAUAGACGAGUCCAAGUUCAAUAAUAAUGAUGGAUGGGCCAAACAAUUUAUUUUUUUAUUUUCUUAUUAUUUUGAUAAAACAGAUAUAACUUUUCGGCAGGGCAAAAAAAAAAAGAUAUUGCGACAAAAUAUCAAAAAGGAAAAUAAAUGUAAUUUGUGGUUAUUAACGCUUUUUCUUCCUUUAAAUACCAAAGAAAUCAGCAGCAGCUUGUGAUCAGUUGAGGAGUGGAACCUCUUGCCUUUGAGCCACAGUGGUUAAUUUCACCUCCCCUUCAUUUGUUUACCUUUCAUUUAGUGAGUUUCUCCAAGCUACAAAAUAGUAUGACGACCUAUAUGGAUCCUGUCUUGUACAAAGCCGCAGAAGAAGGCAAUAUCGAUCCCUUUGAGAAUGAUCAAACCUGCCUCAAUCAGUUAUUGACUCCAGACGAG